AUUUGGAAUGUGAGUUAUUUUAUGUCUUAACUUGGAGGAUUACUUACCUAAAAAAUUUUCCCAAAAUUGAGAGCUUCAUAUUGUGCUGAUAAGGUAGGAUAUUAGUCUUAAUAUAUGGACAUUAAUUUAUUAUGUAAUAAUGAGCUUGCCAAAAGACUGAUCUUCUAAAUUAUUAGUAGAUUACAGUCAAACCUCAUUAUAUCAGUCAUUCACUAUAACAUCAUUUCAUUAUAUAUAAAGACCUGAUUUUCUUCGAAAUCGAUCUUUCAUGUUAUAUUUUACUUCUCUAUAACUGUUGACAUGGAUACUGGGCCGCCUAUCACAGGCCCACCAGAUUAAAAUUGGAUCAUUUUAUCUCUUGUAUAUUUGAGUAUUUGUAAUAAAAGGAUCUUUAGACAAAACCUUCUACAGACAAGAAAGAAAUAAAAAUAUCUUUUUCACUUUAUCUCUUUCUCUCUCUUCUCUCUUUCAUUCUCUUUUACAUUAUAGUCUGGAAUGGUACAAAUCCAUGGAGGUUUCUUCAUUCUCCUCUUAAAAGUAUUGGGGUGACUGUGUUUUGACUGUCACCUACCUUAUUAAUAGAUUACCCCCCCCCCCCCCUUCUUACACAACAUUUCUCCACUUGAGAAGCUUUCUGGUACCCCUCCUUCCUACACCCACUUGAAAUCUUUUGGAUGUCUUUGUUUUGCUGCAUCUCCCAAACAUAGUAGAGAUAAACUUCAAUCUAGAUCCAUUUCAGCUGUUUUUUUGGGUACCCUUCUGGCAAGAAGGCUUACAAGCUCCUAGAUCUCAAUUCUCAUACUAUCUUCUAUUCUAAGGAUGUUGUGUUCCAUGAACACAUUUUUUCUUUUCAAUCAUCUGAUUUUUCCAGUCCACCACCAGUUCGUCCUCCACACUUCAUUGACAUUCUUGAUUCUCCAUUCCCUAACCCCAUUCCUGCUUCCCCUACAGCUCCUAUUGCCCCUCUAGCCCCAGCACCUGUUUAUGGACCACCUACUUCAAGUUCCACCAAAAAAUCCACUCGAGUUACCCACAAAUCUUCUUAUCUUUCUGAUUAUAUUUGCUGCUCAGUCUUACCCGCCCCUGAAUUUAUUGUUUCUGAGAUUUCCCAUACUGAGGCUCAUAUUCAUGAGCCCCUAUUUUAUCAUCAAGCUGUUUUACAUCCUGUUUGGCAAGAGGCUAUACUACAAGAGUUUCAAGUUCUCAAGGCCAAUAAUACUUGGGACAGUGUUCCCUUGCCACCCCACAAGAAAGUUAUCCCAUGUAAAUGGGUUUAUAAAAUCAAAUAAAGAUCUGAUGGCUCCAUUGAGCGUUACAAAGCCAGACUUGUCAUACAAGGGGAUACUCAAAAGAAAGACCAGUUGGCUGACAUUAUGACCAAAUCUCUCUCCGAGCCUGUUCACCAUCAUCUACUUUCCAAGCUGCCCGUGUACUCCCCUUCCAGCUUGAGGAGGGGGUGUUGACAUGGACACUGGGCCGCCUAUCACAGGCCCACCAGAUUAAGAUUGGAUCAUUUUAUCUCUUGUAUAUUUGAGUAUUUGUAAUAAAAGGAAGGACCCUUAGACAGAACCUUCUAUAAAAUAGAGAUAAAUAAAAAUAUCUUUUCACUUUA
Long non-coding RNA from Capsicum annuum, 1612 nucleotides. RefSeq lists it as uncharacterized. Lineage: Eukaryota; Viridiplantae; Streptophyta; Magnoliopsida; Solanales; Solanaceae. The transcript has 2 exons. The record is from RefSeq and is a predicted model, not a curated record.